UACGUAGGGUGCGAGCGUUGUCCGGAAUUAUUGGGCGUAAAGAGCUCGUAGGCGGUCUGUCGCGUCGAAUGUGAAAACCCGAGGCUCAACUCCGGGCUUGCAUUCGAUACGGGCAGGCCAGAGUUCGGUAGGGGAGUCUGGAAUUCCUGGUGUAGCGGUGAAAUGCGCAGAUAUCAGGAGGAACACCGGUGGCGAAGGCGGGACUCUGGGCCGAUACUGACGCUGAGGAGCGAAAGCGUGGGGAGCGAACAGG
Molecule: ribosomal RNA, 253 nt
Filed under: uncultured bacterium
Lineage: Bacteria
Description: partial 16S ribosomal RNA
Rfam family: Bacterial small subunit ribosomal RNA
Source: RNAcentral